This 252-nucleotide ribosomal RNA is filed under the name uncultured bacterium. Its description in RNAcentral is "partial 16S ribosomal RNA". It matches the Rfam family "Bacterial small subunit ribosomal RNA", at positions 524 to 776 of the family's 1533-position model. The record is from RNAcentral.
UACGUAGGGGGCUAGCGUUGUCCGGAUUUAUUGGGCGUAAAGAGCGUGUAGGCGGCUGGGUAGGUCCGUUGUGAAAACUCGAGCUCAACCUCGAGACGCCGAUGGAAACCCUCCAGCUAGAGUCCGGAAGAGGAGAGUGGAAUUCCUGGUGUAGCGGUGAAAUGCGCAGAUAUCAGGAAGAACACCCGUGGCUAAGGCGGCUCUCUAGUACGGUACUGACGCUGAGACGCGAAAGCGUGGGGAGCGAACAGG